AAGUCGUAACAAGGUUUCCGUAGGUGAACCUGCGGAAGGAUCAUUAACGAGGUAGGGUUCUUCACGGAGCCCGAACCCCCCACCCUUUGCUGUUGCGAAUACGUUGCUUCGGCGGGACCUCACCCCUCGGGGAGAGGCCGGGACCCCGGUCCCGGACAGCGCCCGUCGGGGGAAACAACCAACUCUUGUAUCAACCGUGCAGUCGGAGUACUAUGUACAAUCAAAACAAAACUUUCAACAACGGAUCUCUUGGUUCUG
This 258-nucleotide unclassified non-coding RNA is filed under the name Sphaceloma sp. RNAcentral's name for it is "partial internal transcribed spacer region". The stretch from base 1 to 46 matches the Rfam family "Eukaryotic small subunit ribosomal RNA", at positions 1786 to 1831 of the family's 1831-position model. Lineage: Eukaryota; Fungi; Ascomycota; Dothideomycetes; Myriangiales; Elsinoaceae. The record is from RNAcentral.